CGAGUAGUGAGUUGGAGAGGGCUGAUUCCGCUCCAGAGGUGGCGGGCGAGGCAGGUGCGCGCGGCUCAGCGGUGGAUCAGUCAUGUACCGCUGCACCAGUAGCAUCCGUGAUGGCUGCGGAUCACCUAAUUUAUCAAUCAUCUGACCUGAUCGUGAAACAGUCAGGUGAUUGAUUCAAAACAAUUAAUCAGUUGCUGCUUCUGACCAGUAAUUCAUGUGUGGGCACAUAGUGGACCGUUGACUCAUCACCUGGCAUCACCAGACCAACUGGAGAGCGAAUAAAUCCACAUGUAUUGUAUUGUUUCCGCACUGUUAACCUUUGUGCUGACACGACUUACCAAGGGUAUCAAACUCAAUCGUACAGGGGACCAAAACUCAUAGCAUGUUUUAGGCCAUGGGACAAACAGGAUAAACAUUUUGAACAGACUAAAACAAAAAAAAAUUGAAAAUAAAUAUGAAUUGGAACAGACAUGAUACAAUAUUAUUCCAAUAUAAAUCGAUUUCAACUUAAAAGCAUUUAAAAUCUGUUGCUCUACGUUAAAAAAAAUCGAGAAUCUCAAAAUGAUACCAAUUUCAAACAUGCGCUACGAAUUGCCACAUGGAUCCCACAGACCAGUACCUGUGAAAGCAAAGACAUAAACAAUUGAUACAGCAAAUCUGACACACCCGCUGCGUGCCUCCAGAGACGUUAAGCUAUCGGGGGCAAAGUGUCAGCGCAUUCCAUGUAUGGAGAAGGCAUGAAAACCAGAAUAACAAGGAUACCUACCUGUGUUGUAUACAGUUGCAGUUGAGUAAGUCUACUUUGAAACAUAAACCCUAGUUCUAAACCCGACAUUGAAACCCUAACCCUAGUUUUAAACCCUAUACUUUCAAACCCUAACUCAUGUUCCCAACUCUAGCCCUAUUUUAACCCCCCUUUUUUGAAACCCUAUACUGUACCUAGUAUUAAACCC
Molecule: long non-coding RNA, 953 nt
Organism: Hippocampus comes (tiger tail seahorse)
Lineage: Eukaryota; Metazoa; Chordata; Actinopteri; Syngnathiformes; Syngnathidae
Exons: 3
Source: RefSeq, a predicted model, not a curated record